RNAcentral lists this unclassified non-coding RNA (1709 nucleotides) under uncultured fungus. RNAcentral describes it as "sequence contains 18S rRNA gene, ITS1, 5.8S rRNA gene, ITS2, 28S rRNA gene". The stretch from base 598 to 1709 matches the Rfam family "Eukaryotic large subunit ribosomal RNA", at positions 1 to 961 of the family's 3401-position model. The record is from RNAcentral. Lineage: Eukaryota; Fungi.
GGAAGGAUCAUUAACAAAUCCAUAUUUUAUGCCGCAAGGCGUAGAUAUAUAAAUUCGCUUGGCUGGCGCAAGCUGCCAAGUUGAAAGAUUAUGUAUGUGCUGUUGUCUGUCUGUCUGUGAUAAAAAGAUAGAUGAUGGUAUAUAAAUAAGUGUAUGUUGUGUAGACAAGUGUGUGUAAAAACAAAAAAUUAAUUGACAACUUUUAACAAUGGAUCUCUAGGCUCUUGCAGCGAUGAAGAACGCAGUAAAGUGCGAAAAUUGAUGCGAAUUGCACGAAUCUGUGAGUCAUCUAAUCUUUGAACGCAAAUGGCACUCUUGUGUAAGCAAGAGUAUGUCUGUUUGAGAAUCGCAAACCCGAUCUACUCUAGAUAGAGUGAGGUAUUGGCUUUAGGACGCGUAAGCGGUCUUUAGCUUGAAUGCAUUAAGGCUGAUGAGUUCCCAAUGGUGGCCUCAAUGUGUGCUAGCGGACAGAUGUUUCGAUGUCACAUUAAGGUUCCAAUGCAAGCUCUAUAAACGGCCUCUGUUGAAGACACGACGACGGCGGCGACAUGGUCAAACAUGCCGUCAUCAUUGUGUGUCAUCACAUCAUAUCUAUUACGAUCUCAAAUCAGGCAAGAUUACCCGCUGAACUUAAGCAUAUCAAUAAGCGGAGGAAAAGAAACUAACAAGGAUUCCCCUAGUAGCAGCGAGUGAAGCGGGAAGAGCUCAAAUUUAAAAUCUGGCGUGAAAGCGUCCGAGUUGUAGUCUAAAGAGGCGCUAUCGGACACGAGCAUUCUGCACAAGUUCCUUGGAACAGGACAUCACAGAGGGUGAGAAUCCCGUCUGGGCAGAGUGUGAGUGGACACAUAUGAGGCGUCCUCAAAGAGUCGAGUUGUUUGGGAUUGCAGCUCAAAAUGGGUGGUAUAUUUCAUCUAAGGCUAAAUAAUGGCAAGAGACCGAUAGCAAACAAGUACCGUGAGGGAAAGAUGAAAAGCACCUUGAAAAGGGAGUUAAAAGCGCGUGAAAUUGUUAAAAGGGAAACGAUUGAAGCCAGUAGGGCCCAGUUGUGUUCAGCGGCACCCGUCGAGCAUGGUUGCUGGUGGAGCAGUUAAUUCUGUCUGCCACGGCCUGCGCAAGCGGACUGUCGUGCAUUCAUGAUUGGGUUAGUCAGUGACAAUUUGGCCUUCCGGAAAAGGACCUGGGGAAAGUGGCCAUUCACCUCGUGUGCUUGGCUUUAUAGACCCUCGUAGAUACGGUGGGCUGGAUUGUGUUUGACAGCAGCUAACAGAGACGUGUGCAAUCUGCAGUCGUGGACGCCCGAGAAUCAGUCGAGUCUCUGGUGGCAUCUGACUGGGAAGAGCGUUGAUGAUGCCGCGGUGAAUACUGACGCAAUGGCUUUAAACGACCCGUCUUGAAACACGGACCAAGGAGUCUAACAUAUAUGCGAGUAUUUGGGUGGCAAACCCGGAUGCGCAAUGAAAGUGAGUACGAAUGGGAUCCUCCCGGCCUUGUGCUGCGGAGGCGCACCAUUGACCGAUCUUGAUAUCUCUUGAAAGAUUUGAGUUAGAGCAUAUCUGUUGGGACCCGAAAGAUGGUGAACUAUGCCUGGAUAGGAUGAAGCCAGAGGAAACUCUGGUGGAGGUCCGAAGCCGUUCUGACGUGCAAAUCGAUGGUCAAAUCUGGGUAUAGGGGCGAAAGACUAAUCGAACCAUCUAGUAGCUGGUUCCCUC